AUGUUCACCAGACUAUUUUGUUUUUUGAUUUACCAGACCACCAAGAUGAGUAAAAAGAGAAAGGCAAACAUUUCAGAAGAAGGAAACAGAGAGCUCAGCAUUUCCAAAGCAAAAAAGAUCAGUAAGAGGAAAACCCAACUGACAGAAAAGAGUGACCUAAAAAUGUCGGCACAAACUGUUCACACCAAUAAAUGUCUUUCAAAGGUUACUGCAGCGGGGAUAAAUCAAGAAUAUAAAGGAAAUACUGAAAGAGAACAUUUGGCAUUGAAUCUAGAUACAAGACACAUUUGAUGUAUGGAAGCAAGAGCUGGACCAUAAAGAAAGCUGACCAUCGAAGAAUUGCUAAUUUUGAAUUGUGCUGCUGG
Molecule: long non-coding RNA, 365 nt
Filed under: Pogona vitticeps (central bearded dragon)
Lineage: Eukaryota; Metazoa; Chordata; Lepidosauria; Squamata; Agamidae
Description: lncRNA (ENSPVIG00000009138.1)
Source: RNAcentral